Molecule: long non-coding RNA, 393 nt
Organism: Esox lucius (northern pike)
Lineage: Eukaryota; Metazoa; Chordata; Actinopteri; Esociformes; Esocidae
Source: Ensembl
UUUCCUUUUGCGUUUUGUGACUUCACUGCGAGUGUGGCAGGCAUGUUCCCUGAUUCUGCCACCGCCAGGAACCACUCACCUCAUCAAGGCACCAACCCGCCAAAGCACUGAAUCUACAAGACCACUCCAGUUGGGCCUCCCGAGUGGUGCAGUGGUCUAUGCACUUGCCUGGAACGUCUUAUUGCGUUGCUAUUGCAAGCGUUGCUGAAAGAACCAUGAAGGGGUGCACCUGGUCUGCAACAUUGUUUAGGUAGGUGGCACGUGUCAAAUUGAUGUCCACAUGAAUGCCCAGACCCAAGAUUGUUUGCUUACCAUCUAAUCUACCCAGACCUUGACAUGUGCCCUUGUUAGGAGAUGAUCAAGGUUAUGUCCUUCACUGGUGAGGGGUCAUAA